Molecule: long non-coding RNA, 1121 nt
Filed under: Oncorhynchus kisutch (coho salmon)
Lineage: Eukaryota; Metazoa; Chordata; Actinopteri; Salmoniformes; Salmonidae
Description: lncRNA (ENSOKIG00005039017.1)
Source: RNAcentral
UUAGUGUAUAAUAUAUAUCAGAUUAUACAAUAAUCCAAUUAAAUAAUCAUAUAUACUGCAUGUAUGUUUGUAUCAAUAUUUGACAUAGAUGCUGCAGUUAUUAAAGAAAAGGUGAAAUCAGCCCCUGUAAAGAAAGGUAAAAAUGUUUUCAAAUCUGUGGUUAAUAUGUAAUUUGAUAGUGCUUGAUAGAGGCUGAAAGUCACUAUUUUACUGAGAAGCUGAAUUUAGCAGUGAGAAGACCAAACCAGCUCUUGCAAAAAAAUAAUGAAAUGGCCCAAUUCUUUAGAUUCAUUUUGUGUCUUCUCCAAUGAUUGUUUUAGAAGCUGAAAUUCACAAAGAAAACGCCAAAGCAGCUUCAUCAAAGAAAGAGUCCAAGGAAACUAAGGAACAAGCCAAACCAGAGCCUUCAAAAGAAGGUACAGAUAGGAUGUUUUUUUCUGGCUUCAAAAUGUAUAAUGGCGCAAUUCUUGAGAUUCAUGUUGUGUCUUGUCCAAUGAUUGUUUUAGACAGUGAAGUUCCCAAAGAACAAACCAUAGCAGCUACAUCAAAGAAAGGUGCAAAUUAUUCUUUGUGUACCACAGAUCUAGAUCGGUACACAGAUCUAGUUUAUUAAAUCAUUUUUCUCUGAUUUAGAUGCUGAAGCAAAAGAAAAGGCCAAAUUAGCUCCAGAAAAGAAAGGUAUGAAAUUAUUUUUGAAUUGUUAAUUUUCCGCUUAUUCAAAUAAUAGGUAGGCAGCCUAUUUGUCCAUUUUAUGCUAUUUAUAAAACAUUCAAUAAGUUAUUAUUGUAAGGACUGUUGUACGUGAACUUAGAAGCUGAAGUUUCCAAAGAAAAAGCCAAAGUAACUCCUUCAAAUGAAGGUAACAGAAUGUAUUGAUUUUUAACACCACCAAUAUAAUAUUACAGACAGUACAUAAUCUCAGAGAAAAAAAAAUAUCCUGCUAUAUUCAUAGAGAAACACAAUUAUGUUGCUUUUGAUUCAGAUGCUGCAGUUAUUAAAGAAAAGAUCAAAUCAGCCCCUGCAAAGAAAGGUAAGAAUGUGGUUAGUAUGUAAUUAGGAAUUUGUUAUAAUAUUUGUUUGCAUUGUGUUGUAUUUUAUUAAAUUCACUGCAUAUUUUUUGU